GACGAACGCUGGCGGCGUGCUUAACACAUGCAAGUCGAACGGACAGGCCCUGCUUUUGUUGGGUUCUCGAUUGGCGCACGGGUGAGUAACACGUGAGUAACCUGCCCUUGUCUUUCGGAUAACUUCAGGAAACUGGGGCUCUUACCCGAUAUGAUCUCCUGCUGCAUGUUGUGGGUUGGAUAGUUUCGGCUGUUGUGGAUGGACUCGCUGCUUAUCAGCUUGUUGGUGGGGUAGUGGCUUACCAAGGCUUUGACGGGUAGCCUGCCUGAGAGGGGGACCGGCGACAAGGGGACUGAGAUACGGACCAGACGGCUACGGGAGGCAGUAGGGGGGAAUAUUGCACAAUGGGGGGAAGCGUGAUGCAGAAACGCCGCGUGCGGGAUGACGGCCUUCGGGUGGUAAACAGAUUUCGCAGGUGACGAAGAGGGAGUGACGGUAAUGGGUAAAAAAGCAACGGCUAACUACGUG
Molecule: ribosomal RNA, 468 nt
Filed under: uncultured bacterium
Lineage: Bacteria
Description: partial 16S ribosomal RNA
Rfam family: Bacterial small subunit ribosomal RNA
Source: RNAcentral